UACGUAGGGUGCGGGCGUUAAUCGGAAUUACUGGGCGUAAAGGGCGCGUAGGCGGCCUUCUAAGUCGAACGUGAAAUCCCUGGGCUCAACCCAGGAACUGCGUCCGAUACUGGGAGGCUUGAAUCCGGGAGAGGGAUGUGGAAUUCCAGGUGUAGCGGUGAAAUGCGUAGAUAUCUGGAGGAACACCGGUGGCGAAGGCGGCAUCCUGGACCGGCAUUGACGCUGAGGCGCGAAAGCUAGGGGAGCAAACGGG
Molecule: ribosomal RNA, 253 nt
Filed under: uncultured bacterium
Lineage: Bacteria
Description: partial 16S ribosomal RNA
Rfam family: Bacterial small subunit ribosomal RNA
Source: RNAcentral